CUUCAUGACAACAGAAGCCACAGAAAUCCUCCUCAUCAAAAACAUGACUUUGAUCUCCGUCCUCAUCUGGACUCUCCUCUGCUGCUGCUUCACAGAGUCCAGAGGUCAGGUCACAGUGACUCAACCUGGAGCAGUGAGCUCUGCUGUGGGAAACUCCGUCACCAUCACAUGUCAGACCAGUCAAGAUGUUUAUGGCUCUAACCGUUUAGCCUGGUACCAACAGAGAGAUGGAGAAACUCCUAAACUGCUCAUAUACUAUGCCAGCACUCGAGCAUCAGGGAUUCCAGAUCGUUUUACAGGCAGUGGAUCAAACUCUGACUUCACUCUGACCAUCAGUGGAGUCCAGACUGAAGAUGCAGCAGUUUACUACUGUCAGAGUUUUCAUUACAUCAACAGUCAGUACGUGUUCACACAGUGAAAAAGCGUCGUACAAAAACCUCCCUCAGUCAGACUGAACAGAAACUGGACUGACUGCUGCAGCUGGAAGCUACUGCAGAGACUGAUACACUUCACUGAGGACACACACACACACAGACACACACACACACACUGUACACACACAGACACACACACACACACACACACACACACACACACACACACACACAAAGCAGUGGCGGCUGCUGGUCUUUCAAACAGGGGAAGCUCACUUUCAGUUUACAUCAUAAAAGUUGUCAUAUUGUAGCGAGGCAGUAACUUAUAAAAGGAACAUUUAAUUGAAGCUGUUUUUCAACCACACACAUGCCAUAGAACCACAGCAAAACACACCUCAAGGAUUUUCAGAUGGGUUUAAACACCGGAACUGUGUACAAAUGGUGAAAAAUCGCUUAUGGAAAUAAGGAACUCCAGAUGGCACUCUGUCAGAAGACUCCACUCGCAAAUAUCCGCAUGAGACUGAGUUCGAAAUGUGAAGCGCUGUCAGUCACAAAGGGGUUCAACCUUUUCGACAAUUCCUCAUCAUCAUGCAUACACCGAGCGUCCUCUCCUGCCCACCGCUCCAUUAGGUCCCACGGAAGUUAAAGGGAAAUUUCAGUUUAUUUCAACCUGUCUCCUAUCAUCCUAAAUUUGUUUCAAGUGACUAGUGACAUAAAAAUAAUAGUUAGCAUG
Epinephelus fuscoguttatus (brown-marbled grouper) is the source of this 1107-nucleotide non-coding RNA. Lineage: Eukaryota; Metazoa; Chordata; Actinopteri; Perciformes; Serranidae. The record is from the annotation of a RefSeq genome assembly.